GAUGAACGCUAGCGGCAGGCUUAACACAUGCAAGUCGAGGGGUAUUGGUUUUCGGACCAAGAGACCGGCGCACGGGUGCGUAACGCGUAUGCAAUCUACCUUUUGCAGAGGGAUAGCCCCAGAGAAAUUUGGAUUAAUACCUCAUAGUAUAGUACUUUGGCAUCAAGGAACUAUUAAAGUCACAACGGCAAAAGAUGAGCAUGCGUCCCAUUAGCUAGUUGGUAAGGUAACGGCUUACCAAGGCUACGAUGGGUAGGGGUCCUGAGAGGGAGAUCCCCCGACACUGGUACUGAGACACGGACCUAGACUCCUACGGGAGCAGCAGUGAGGAAUAUUGGACAAU
RNAcentral lists this ribosomal RNA (343 nucleotides) under uncultured bacterium. RNAcentral's name for it is "bacterial SSU rRNA". It matches the Rfam family "Bacterial small subunit ribosomal RNA", at positions 28 to 372 of the family's 1533-position model. The record is from RNAcentral.